This 76-nucleotide transfer RNA is filed under the name Erysipelotrichaceae bacterium. RNAcentral describes it as "tRNA-Phe". It matches the Rfam family "tRNA". From Rfam's summary of the family: Transfer RNA (tRNA) molecules are approximately 80 nucleotides in length. Their secondary structure includes four short double-helical elements and three loops (D, anti-codon, and T loops). Lineage: Bacteria; Bacillati; Bacillota; Erysipelotrichia; Erysipelotrichales; Erysipelotrichaceae. The record is from RNAcentral.
GGUUCAGUAGCUCAGUUGGUAGAGCAGCGGACUGAAAAUCCGCGUGUCGCUGGUUCAACUCCGGCCUGGACCACCA